Molecule: ribosomal RNA, 1189 nt
Filed under: human gut metagenome
Description: bacterial LSU rRNA
Rfam family: Bacterial large subunit ribosomal RNA
Source: RNAcentral
GCCAUCCUUCAAAGAAAGCGUAAUAGCUCACUGAUCGAGUCCUCAUGCGCGGAAGAUGUAACGGGGCUAAGUCAAUAACCGAAAGCGCGGAUUUGCACGAUGAGUGCAAGUGGUAGGGGAGCGUUCUGUAAGCCUGCGAAGGUGGUUCGAGAGGACUGCUGGAGGUAUCAGAAGUGCGAAUGCUGACAUGAGUAACGUUAAAGCAGGUGAAAAGCCUGCUCGCCGUAAGCCCAAGGUUUCCUGCUCUACGUUCAUCGGAGCAGGGUGAGUCGGCCCCUAAGGCCAGGCUGAGAAGCGUAGUCGAUGGGAAGCAGAUUAAUAUUUCUGCACCAUGUGCAAGUGCGAUGGGGGGACGGAGUGCGAAAGAUCAUCCGGGUGUUGGAUGUCCCGGUUUGUGAGUGUAGAAGGCCGACAGGCAAAUCCGUCGGCGGAUCUUCGAGACAAAGCAUCGAGGUUCUACGGAACCGAAGUGAUCGGAAGUGCUUCCAGGAAAAGCCUCUAAGCUCCAGCUUGCAUAUGACCGUACCGUAAACCGACACUGGUGGGCGAGUUGAAUAUACUCAGGCGCUUGAGAGAACUCGGGAGAAGGAACUCGGCAAAUUGACACCGUAACUUCGGGAUAAGGUGUGCCUUUGUAGCGUGAAGAGAGAAACACUCGGAGCGUGAAGAGGCCUCAGAGAAUCGGUGGCUGCAACUGUUUAUUAAAAACACAGCACUCUGCAAAGACGAAAGUCGACGUAUAGGGUGUGAUGCCUGCCCGGUGCUGGAAGAUUAAGUGAUGGGGUGAGAGCUCCUGAUCGAAGUCCCAGUAAACGGCGGCCGUAACUAUAACGGUCCUAAGGUAGCGAAAUUCCUUGUCGGGUAAGUUCCGACCUGCACGAAUGGCAUAAUGAUGGCCACACUGUCUCCUCCCGAGACUCAGUGAAGUUGAAAUGUUUGUGAUGAUGCAAUCUCCCCGCGGCUAGACGGAAAGACCCCAUGAACCUUUACUGUAGCUUUGCAUUGGACUUUGAACCGAUUUGUGUAGGAUAGGCGGGAGGCAGAGAAAGCGCAACGCCAGUUGUGCCGGAGCCGACGUUGAAAUACCGCCCUGAUUUGUUUGAGGUUCUAACCGCGACCCGUGAGCCGGGUCCGGGACCGUGCAUGGCAGGCAGUUUGACUGGGGCGGUCUCCUCCUAAAGGGUAACGG